This 295-nucleotide signal recognition particle RNA is filed under the name Saimiri boliviensis boliviensis (Bolivian squirrel monkey). Its description in RNAcentral is "Metazoan signal recognition particle RNA (ENSSBOG00000001302.1)". It matches the Rfam family "Metazoan signal recognition particle RNA". Rfam says of the family: The signal recognition particle (SRP) is a universally conserved ribonucleoprotein. It is involved in the co-translational targeting of proteins to membranes. Lineage: Eukaryota; Metazoa; Chordata; Mammalia; Primates; Cebidae. The record is from Rfam by way of RNAcentral.
ACCAGGCGCGGUGGCGCGUGCCUGUAGUCCCAGCUACUCAGGAGGCUGAGGUGGGAGGAUUGCUAGAGCCCAGGAGUUCUGGGCUAUAGUGCGCUAUGCUGAUCGGGUGUCCGCACUAAGUUCGGCAUCAAUAUGGUCACCUCCCGGGAGUGGGGGACCACCAGGUUGCCUAAGCAGGGGUGAACCGGCCCAGAAAUGGAGGUCAGAAAUGGAGCAGGUCAAAACUAUAUAUCAUUCUCCACCCCCCACUUGAAUGUUGGCUGGUCCUGUGAAUAUUAUGGAAUAUCAUUCCUGU